GACGAACGCUGGCGGCGUGCUUAACACAUGCAAGUCGAACGGAAAGGCCCUGCUUUUGUGGGGUGCUCGAGUGGCGAACGGGUGAGUAACACGUGAGUAACCUGCCCUUGACUUUGGGAUAACUUCAGGAAACUGGGGCUAAUACCGGAUAUGAGCUCCUGCUGCAUGGUGGGGGUUGGAAAGUUUCGGCGGGUGGGGAUGGACUCGCGGCUUAUCAGCUUGUUGGUGGGGUAGUGGCUUAGCAAGGCAUUGACGGGUAGCCGGCCUGAGAGGGUGACCGGCCACAUUGGGACUGAGAUACGGCCCAGACUCCUACGGGAGGCAGCAGUGGGGAAUAUUGCACAAUGGGCGGAAGCCUGAUGCAGCAACGCCGCGUGCGGGAUGACGGCCUUCGGGUUGUAAACCGCUUUCGCCUGUGGCGAAGCGUGAGUGACGGUAAUGGGUAAAUAAGCACCGGCUAACUACGUG
This 468-nucleotide ribosomal RNA is filed under the name uncultured bacterium. Its description in RNAcentral is "partial 16S ribosomal RNA". It matches the Rfam family "Bacterial small subunit ribosomal RNA", at positions 28 to 507 of the family's 1533-position model. The record is from RNAcentral.